RNAcentral lists this ribosomal RNA (250 nucleotides) under uncultured bacterium. RNAcentral describes it as "partial 16S ribosomal RNA". It matches the Rfam family "Bacterial small subunit ribosomal RNA", at positions 524 to 773 of the family's 1533-position model. The record is from RNAcentral.
UACGUAGGCAGCGAGCGUUGUUCGGAGUUACUGGGCGUAAAGAGUGCGUAGGCGGUUUUCUAAGUUUGGUGUGAAAUCUCCCGGCUUAACUGGGAGGGUGCGCCGAAAACUGGAAGGCUUGAGUAUGGGAGAGGUAAGCGGAAUUCCUGGUGUAGCGGUGAAAUGCGUAGAUAUCAGGAGGAACACCUGCGGUGUAGACGGCUUACUGGACCAUAACUGACGCUGAGGCACGAAAGCGUGGGUAGCAAAC